This is a long non-coding RNA of Pezoporus occidentalis (night parrot), 1581 nucleotides long. RefSeq lists it as uncharacterized. The transcript is spliced from 3 exons. The record is from RefSeq and is a predicted model, not a curated record. NCBI's taxonomy places the organism in Eukaryota, Metazoa, Chordata, Aves, Psittaciformes, Psittacidae.
CCGUUUCGCACCGAGUUUCCUCUUCACAAGGCACCAGCGGCAGCCGCGACUUUUCCCGUGUUAUUUCUGGCAGGCGUUUAGUCCCUCAGGUAUAAGAUUUUCAUGUAACAAGAAUCAGCUUCAUUCCUCCAGAUAUAAAGCAAAGAUGAAAUAGAACUGUCAUGAGGCAACUGGAAAAAUACUGCACACAAAGUAUUAGUUCAUAAAUAAUAGAGUGAAUGUUCUACACUGGCUAGGAUCAAAGGCUACAAGUUCCGUUUCCAGCUCAGCCACAGACUGCUUAACACCACACCUCAACCCUUCUUCUGUUUGCUGUGAGAUACAGUGAGAUUCCUUAUGCUACAUUACAUUUGCUGGUAUAGCUAAGUAUUUAUAAUGAGAUAUGGAGCAUAACUGUACUUAAAAAUCUUGCCAUAAACACUUUUCACGGUUUCAACAACAACAAAAUGCCAUUUGCCUCUAUUAUUACCAGCAGUAUUAAGACAGUCAUACUUUACAAUGUACCACUGUAAAUAAAGACACAAAGAACUCAAGCUGUAAAGUACAACACUGAGGGGAAAAUGCAAGAGAUUCUGUCUUGUCAACAUAUAUAACCUUUUCACUGCCUGUAUGCAAACAUUCAAUGAUCUACAAGUGCUUGGAGCCACCAAAACAGAGUGGUCGAGGUGGGUGGGGAGGAUAACACUCAAACCCACCACUACCACCCUGAAAAUCAAAAAGAAGCACUCAGUUUGAGUUCAGUGUCAUGUUCCUGGCAAAAUGUCUGCUGAAGCACUACAGAGAUUUUUAUGGGCCUAGAGGAGACACUAAAGAAAUACAAACAAAUCAAUGAAUACCAGCAUUGAGAGAUAAACAGUUUCAAAUGCUUCAUAGUACUAGAAUCCCUUUGCAGCCAGAUUCAGUGCCAAGAUGAAGACUUGGAAGGCUUCUGUCAGGCUAUUUCCAAUUACAGUGGUUUAUGAAAACACAGGGGAUACAGUACGCCUUGAUGAGAAAAACCAGUGUGUAUAUAAGCUCAUCAUCCUUGAGCAGAAAGCACUGAGAGAAAAACCAUGAAUGCCACAUUUUUACCUCCAGCCUCAGCAGUUCCACCUGGUUCUCUGCAGUCUAAGUUUAGAGCAGAUCUUUCGACUACAAGCUGUUUGCAAGAUUCUUGCCAUCAUCUUGUGAAUGGAUGACAGUGUAUAAAAUCCAACACUGGACUCAAAAGUAAAACAAUUAUAUGUAGGAGUAUUAACAAAAUUUAUCCAACUUCAUCUUUUUUUUUCUUGUUUGGCAUCUCUACCCCUUUGACAGCGUAGUAUAACAAAACCUGUAGAGCUCUGUCUGUUCAUUUGGGAACACAGCAAAUUUUACUGUGGCAUGUAGAAGUCUUCUAAAAAAAUUCAGUUAUGAAACAGAUGUUCCUUCUUCCUUUACCAGGAGGAACAGCAGGGGAAGAAAAAUCAAAGACUAUUCUGAUCUUCAUACUCUGACCUAUGUCUACAAUUUGUUGCUAGCCACAGCUUUUAGAAAAUUCACACUUACAAACCACCAGUAAACAUGGUACAAAAUAAAGGCAAUAUGAAGAACAUUCAAGGA